CUCGAGCUCGAACAGCGGCGCUCAUGUGUGAGUGCGACGGGGAUCGAAAGACAUAGCUUUACUCACAACGAUCGCGUGCAGCUCUUGCUUGCUGCGCACCGUUUCAGCUGCAUCUUCUGCUGUAUUCUUCCUCCUCUUCGAAGGUAAGUAACGGAGCAGUUAGGUCGAACACACACACACACACACAAGACACAUCCACAAUCAAAUGCUCAACAAGCGCAUUCGGCGCGCAUCUCAACAUUCCAGUGCAGAGGCUGCCACUAUCGCAACUCCCAUAAGCCUCUGCAACGGUGGCCCAUCGACCCCAUCAUUCUAUCUGCAUACAUCUCUCUCUAUGUAUUGCGCAGUUUGGCGCUUUCGUUCUGGCUGCUCUUGAAAGGGGGAAAAAAGUAGGAAAAGAGACGCUGGAAUCUCGACCAAUCACUUUUUGAAAUAGGUCAUAUUGUGAUGGCGUCUGACUACAAGCAGCGCGAGACGGUUGGCGUCGAGGAUCUUGUUCUCCUCCCGCAGAUCAGCGAGAAGGCCAUCACUGAUGACCUUGCCGUGCGCCAUCGCGAGGAUUUGAUCUACACAAGCAUCGGCUCUGUGCUGCUCGUGGUGAACCCUUUCAAGGAUAUCCAGGGCCUGUACAAUGAUGCGCACAUGCAGUUCUACAGGCACAGUGGCCGGCUGAGCGGCGUGCGAUACGCGCUGCUUGAGGGACAGGAGCCCGGCGACGCCGCUCUUGGCGGGCCACACAUCUUCGCCUUGGCGGAGGAGACGUACCGCAGCAUGGUGUCAGAAGAAGAGAACCAGUGCGUCAUCAUCUCCGGUGAAUCGGGCGCCGGCAAGACGGAGGCAUCGAAGCACAUCAUGCAGUACAUCUCUGCCGUCUCUGGCAACACGAAAGACAUGCAGCGGGUCAAGCGCAUCAUCCUCGAGUCCAACCCUCUACUGGAGGCCUUCGGCAAUGCCAAGACGCUGCGCAACGACAACAGCUCGCGCUUUGGCAAGUUCCUCGAGAUUUACUUCGACAUCCGCGGCGGCCCGGUUGGCGGUCACCUCUCGCACUUUUUGCUCGAAAAGUCACGUGUGUCGAGUCAGCAGGCGGGGGAGUGCAACUUCCACAUCUUCUACCAGGUGUGCGCUGGCGCAGCUGCUGAGUUGCACGGUGACGGCAGCGGGCUCCAGCCCUCGAGAGUGGGCAACGGCGGCAACCGGAAGGGCGCUGCUGCUGCGUGGGACGACGACGACAACGAUGGCGGUGGUCAUGCCCCUAUUGCGUGGCGUGAGGUGUUUGAGGAGAUGCGCAUGCAUAGGGGCGGCAGUAGCAGCAACAUUGGCCAGUCGCAGUCCUUCGCCUCCUCCUCUCCGUUUUCAGCGUAUUAUCCGUGGAAGUUUCUGCGCCCGUCAUUAGGAUCUGGGCAGCACGCGGAGGAGUUCACGCCUCGCGUCGGCAUCGAUGACUUGCGCGGCUGGCGCGAGACGCUCAUCGCGAUGGAUGCGAUGGGGAUGGCGGCGCAGGAUCAGGUGUCCGUCAUCAAGGUUCUGUGCCUGGUGCUGCACCUCGGCGAGCUUGAUUUCGUGGCACCGGAGGAGGGCGGGGCGCUGGCGGCGGGGCAGAACCCAUGCACCGUUGCUAAUCCUGAGGAGCUCGCGUUUGUCGCGCAGCAGCUUGGUGUGGAUGCUUCAGCGCUGCUGAAGGCUCUGACGUGGCGAAAGCUGCAGAUGGGCGCGACAGAGGUGGUCUUCUCCCCUCUCGAUGCGCAGCAGUGCCGCAGCACUCGCGACGCCGUCGCGAAGGUUCUUUACGAGGGUGUCUUUGAGUUCAUCGUCAGCUCCGUGAACACCGCCUUCGGCGACGCUCCUCACGCUCUCAUGCUCGGCGUGCUCGACAUUUACGGCUUCGAAAUUUUUGCCAAGAACGGGUUUGAGCAGUUUUGCAUCAACUACGUGAACGAGAAGCUGCAGCAGAUCUUCAUUGAGCUGACGCUGCGAGUGGAGCAGGAGGAUUACGUGCGGGAGCACAUACCAUGGGAGGACAUCAAGUACUUUGACAACCAAGUCGUCUGCGACCUUAUCGAGAGCGACCGUCCGCCAGGCCUGUUUGCGCUCAUGGACGACGUUUGCAUCACCAUGGCAAAGGAGGAGGAGUCUGUGGCGGACCGCAAGCUGCUGGACAAGUUGGGCAUGGCAUACAGCAGCCACCCGAACUUUUUGCGCAGCGAACGCGGCUUCAUUGUCAAGCACUACGCUGGCGACGUCGAGUACAGCACGGACGGCUUCGUUGGACGCAACAAGGAUCGACUUGGCGCAGACGUGGUCGAGGUGUUGUCAAAAAGUCAGGCACAUUUCUUGCUGGAAAUUCUGACCGAGGUGCUGGCGGACGGCUUGACGUCGGCGGUGCCAUCGUCUACCAGGACCGGCGGAUCUCGUCGCGCCUGCGCCACAGCCGGCUUCAAGAUCCGCCAGCAGGCCGCCGAUCUCGUGCGCACGCUGAAGCAGUGCACGCCCCACUACGUGCGCACCAUCAAAUCGAACGACGUGAAGCGGGCCAACUUCUUCGACGAGGCGCGGGUGCUGCACCAGGUAAAGUAUCUCGGCCUCCUGGAGAACGUGCGGGUGCGGCGAGCGGGCUACAGCUACCGGCAGUACUUUGACAAGUUCCUCAAGCGCUUCAAAUACACGUGUCCGAGCACCUAUCCACGGCCCUUUCGAGGCACCGACAAGGCGGCGUGCGAGGCCAUCCUCGCCUACCUGCAGGACGAGCAAGGGGUGCUGCCACCCGACUCCUUUGCGAUUGGCACCAGCAAGGUUUUUAUUCGACAGCCGGAGCAUGUUCUGGCACUUGAGCAGAGCCGCGAAGCCGCCUUCCAUGCCCUAUCCGUCACCAUUCAACGCGCGUGGCGGCGCUACACGCAGUGCAAGCAGCUCCUCUGCCUCAAGGCGAAGCUGGACCGCACGUACACGCGGCACCGCAAGACGCGCCGUGCCGACAGUGUCUUUCGAGCCUACGAGGGCAUCUACGUAGAGACUGACACUGUAGUGGCCGUGCCGAGCCCGGCCGCAGGCGGCGGCACCAGCGCAGUGCCACGUGCGCUCUCCAACCGACUCACCGUCGCCCUCGACGCCAUCCUGCAAUUUGACCCCAUUGCCGUUGCGUGGCGCUCCUUCUGGACUCCGGGCGAGGCAGGCCAACCCCGCAAGAAGUUCUUCUUCAACGCUCUCACACGCGAGAUGGUUUGGGAGCGGCCCCGUGAGCUGGACCCUCCGCGCGUUGUCUUCUCCUGCGCCGUCGACCGCGUUGUCAACUGGGCCACCGCGAAAACCGCCAAAGAGUUCAUUUUCCUCACGACGCACGACGUGCUGUACGUGGUGCGCGAGACGCCGACGUCCACAGAAGCGUUGCCGCCGUCCUCGCAGCCGCCUAGUAGUAGCGCAAAGCAUUCCAAGCAUGCGGCCGCAGCAGUGAAGGAGAAGCAGUCGGUCGCCAUGACACUGACGCCAUGCUUCACUCUGCAGAAGCGCAUAGACCUGCGUCUUCUCACACAGGUGGCGGUCACCACGAUGGCCGACACGGUGUUGGUGGUGCGCGUGCUGCCGGUGCAGGCGCCAUACCGCCCAGUGACCGAUACAGUCAAGACGAAAGCAGGACCUUCAAAAUGCGAGACGUGCAGCCGAGCUGCCACACCGGCGCUGCGCCGCGCCAACUGCCCGAGUUGCGGCCGGCUGUGCUGCGUCCGGCACUGUCUGACGUAUGCGCGGCCGCUGCCCACUAUCACUGGGCAAGCAGCCCCGGUGCGAGUCUGUCCCGCCUGCGUGGUAGGGGAGCCUCUGGAACCGGUCGAGGACAUGGUGCUACUGACAAGUUACAGGACGGAGCUUGCCGGCACGCUCUGUGCGCGUUACCAGGAGCGCAUGGGCAACCCGCUGCCGCUCUUUGUGUCGGACAGCAUUCCGUUCUCCAAGUGGACGCCUGCGCCGUCGCCACCGAAGAUGAAGCGCACGCACCGCCUCGCCAAGCCCUCAGCAGGCCGAGGCGGCGAAGCCGGUGAGGGUCAGCCGUUGGUGAUUGGUGGAUCGUACGAGGUGACGCUGACGUGCACAGUCACCGAUGACCCGCUGGCGAACGAUACUGUGCUCAUUGGUGCCGCCCCUCCAGCCCCGAUGACGGCUGCCGCCUCCGCAGAUGGCCAUUCAGGCGCAAAGGGUAAGAGGAAAGGCAAGGAGGCCUUCGACGACGAGGUAGCAUACACCGUUCCACCUGGCACGCCGCCCGUGCUGAGGGUGGUUGCGCCGCGUGGCAUCACAGGAGAGCAGAUCCGACGCAUGGAGGCUAUUCGCGAGGAGCGGCGAAAAGCGGCUGCGGCGCGAAGGCGUCGGGAGGAGGAAGAGGAGCGGGAGCGCGAAGCACAGCGGGAGCGCGAGCGUGAGGCUGAGCACCGGCGAGUCGUGCAGGAGCGGAAGAAGGCGAAGGCAGCCGAGGCGGCUCGCAUGGAGGCAGAACGUGCCAAUCGUGAAAGGGCCGCCGCGGAGCGUCGCGAGGAGGCCGCUCGCGUGGUGGCGGAGCGCGCUCGGCGCCGGUAGAGGAACACGCAGCUCUGCUGCAAGUUGAUCUUGUGUGCUGUCUGACCUGUGCGUGUGCGCGUGCGUCUGGUGUCCUUCGUCCUUUCUGCCUCAACCCUUCUCUUCUUUAUUAUCCUGUCGCGUGCAGUAUGGCCUUAGACACACACACAUACACACACAUGAGACGAAAAACGAACACUCACUGCUCACGCUGUCCCUCCCCCCUCUGUACUUGUCGAUGCCAUUCACACACAGGCGCCCACGUAUCUAUGAUGAUGGGACGCUGCGCAGGCAUGCCGUUCACUUAGAUGACAUC
RNAcentral lists this unclassified non-coding RNA (4861 nucleotides) under Leishmania donovani. Its description in RNAcentral is "gene:LdHU3.34.1750(CDS-product:myosin_IB_heavy_ch ain_putative)". Lineage: Eukaryota; Euglenozoa; Kinetoplastea; Trypanosomatida; Trypanosomatidae. The record is from RNAcentral.